GACGAACGCUGGCGUCGUGCUUAACACAUGCAAGUCGAACGGAAAGGCCCUGCUUUUGUGGGGUGCUCGAGUGGCGAACGGGUGAGUAACACGUGAGUAACCUGCCCUUGACUUUGGGAUAACUUCAGGAAACUGGGGCUAAUACCGGAUAGGAGCUCCUGCUGCAUGGUGGGGGUUGGAAAGUUUCGGCGGUUGGGGAUGGACUCGCGGCUUAUCAGCUUGUUGGUGGGGUAGUGGCUUACCAAGGCUUUGACGGGUAGCCGGCCUGAGAGGGUGACCGGCCACAUUGGGACUGAGAUACGGCCCAGACUCCUACGGGAGGCAGCAGUGGGGAAUAUUGCACAAUGGGCGGAAGCCUGAUGCAGCAACGCCGCGUGCGGGAUGACGGCCUUCGGGUUGUAAACCGCUUUCGCCUGUGACGAAGCGUGAGUGACGGUAAUGGGUAAAGAAGCACCAGCUAACUGCGUG
Molecule: ribosomal RNA, 468 nt
Filed under: uncultured bacterium
Lineage: Bacteria
Description: partial 16S ribosomal RNA
Rfam family: Bacterial small subunit ribosomal RNA
Source: RNAcentral